This 26-nucleotide non-coding RNA is filed under the name Homo sapiens (human). The record is from RNAcentral. Lineage: Eukaryota; Metazoa; Chordata; Mammalia; Primates; Hominidae.
UGGGAUGACUGAGCAUCUCUGUGCCA